Molecule: ribosomal RNA, 1794 nt
Filed under: Megastrebla parvior parvior
Lineage: Eukaryota; Metazoa; Arthropoda; Insecta; Diptera; Streblidae
Description: SSU rRNA
Rfam family: Eukaryotic small subunit ribosomal RNA
Source: RNAcentral
GCCAUGCAUGUCUAAGUACAUACAUUAAUAAAAAGUGAAACCGCAAAAGGCUCAUUAUAUCAGUUAUGGUUUCUUAGAUCGUUAACAGUUACUUGGAUAACUGUGGUAAUUCUAGAGCUAAUACAUGCAACAAUAAAAAAAAAAGGGCGUGUGCUUUUAUUAGGCUAAAACCAAGAUCGUUAAAAUGGUUGAACUCUAGAUAACUAUCGCAGAUCGUAUGGUCUUGUACCGACGACAUAUCUUUCAAAUGUCUGCCCUAUCAACUUUUGAUGGUAGUAUUUAGGACUACCAUGGUUGCAACGGGUAACGGGGAAUCAGGGUUCGAUUCCGGAGAGGGAGCCUGAGAAACGGCUGCCACAUCUAAGGAAGGCAGCAGGCGCGUAAAUUACCCACUCCCAGCUCGGGGAGGUAGUGACGAAAAAUAACAAUACAGGACUCAUAUUUGAGUUCCUGUAAUUGGAAUGAGUACACUUUAAAUCCUUUAACAAGGACCUAUUGGAGGGCAAGUCUGGUGCCAGCAGCCGCGGUAACCCCAGCUCCAAUAGCGUAUAUUAAAGUUGUUGCGGUUAAAACGUUCGUAGUUGAACUUGUGCUUCAUACGGGUAGUAUAUCUCAAUAUGUAGCAUAUACUAUACCUUAUGUAUGUAAGCGUAUUAUCGGUGGAAAGAAACCUACUUCAAUGCUCUUUAUCGAGUGUUGUUGUGGGCCGAUACAAUUACUUUGAACAAAUUAGAGUGCUUAAAGCAGGCUCAUAAUGCCCAAAUUUUUGUGCAUGGGAUAAUGAAAUAAGACCUCUGUUCUACUUUCAUUGGUUUUUAGAUCAAGAGGUAAUGAUUAAUAGAAGCAGUUUGGGGGCAUUAGUAUUACGACGCGAGAGGUGAAAUUCUUGGACCGUCGUAAGACUAACUUAAGCGAAAGCAUUUGCCAAAGAUGUUUUCAUUAAUCAAGAACGAAAGUUAGAGGUUCGAAGGCGAUCAGAUACCGCCCUAGUUCUAACCAUAAACGAUGCCAGCUAGCAAUUGGGUGUAGCUAAUAUUAUGGCUCUCUCAGUCGCUUCCCGGGAAACCAAAGCUUUUGGGCUCCGGGGGAAGUAUGGUUGCAAAGCUGAAACUUAAAGGAAUUGACGGAAGGGCACCACCAGGAGUGGAGCCUGCGGCUUAAUUUGACUCAACACGGGAAAACUUACCAGGUCCGAACAUAAGCGUGUAAGACAGAUUGAUAGCUCUUUCUCGAAUCUAUGGGUGGUGGUGCAUGGCCGUUCUUAGUUCGUGGAGUGAUUUGUCUGGUUAAUUCCGAUAACGAACGAGACUCAAAUAUAUUAAAUAGAUGCUUUCAGGAUUAUGACGUUGAAACUUUUAUAACCUUCAUUUAUAAGUUCGAAUGUGUUUAUAAAAGUGGAGUCGUACCUGUUGGUUUGUCCCAUUAUAGGAUACUAGCUUCUUAAAUGGACAAAUUGCGUCUAGCAAUAAUGAGAUUGAGCAAUAACAGGUCUGUGAUGCCCUUAGAUGUCCUGGGCUGCACGCGCGCUACAAUGAAAGUAUCAACGUGUAUUUCCUAGACCGAGAGGUCCGGGUAAACCGAUGAAUCACUUUCAUGCUUGGGAUUGUGAACUGCAACUGUUCACAUGAACUUGGAAUUCCCAGUAAGUGCGAGUCAUUAACUCGCAUUGAUUACGUCCCUGCCCUUUGUACACACCGCCCGUCGCUACUACUGAUUGAAUUAUUUAGUGAGGUUUUCGGACAUGAUUACUGUAACAUAAUAAUAUUAUAUUGUGUUAUGGAUGUAUCGCGAAAG